GUUUAUACUUUAUACAGUGUAACUAUUUAAAUGCGUGUGUAUAUAGUCAAAACAUCCCAAAUGAUAGAUUCACAACGUCUAUUAUCACUGUCGCUUGUGCUUGUAAAACCCUCCAUUAUUUGAAUCUCCUCGUCGCUUUUAUCAGCCAUAACUGCCAAGAUGUAUUUAGAAAAUACUUGCAAAACGGGAUUACUAAAGAUUGGCAG
Non-coding RNA from Paramuricea clavata, 206 nucleotides. Lineage: Eukaryota; Metazoa; Cnidaria; Anthozoa; Malacalcyonacea; Plexauridae. The record is from the annotation of a GenBank genome assembly.